Long non-coding RNA from Ficedula albicollis (Collared flycatcher), 1700 nucleotides. Lineage: Eukaryota; Metazoa; Chordata; Aves; Passeriformes; Muscicapidae. The record is from Ensembl.
GCUGGAAAUGCCUGCCUUGUCCUGCUCUUGGUCUCACCUCCACAAUGUAGGAGUCAAAUGAAAUCACAAGCAGAUUAGGAAAAUGGUCCAGCAAGAAUAAAUUUCAGUUUCCUGAAGGGUUAGCGAGUUUAACCUGCUAACAGAAAGGCAAGGUCUGGACACAACACAGCAAAGUGAGACUGCACCAUCUGAGGCAAAACAGAGAAGAAAAGGAGGGGGAAAAGAGCAUUGCUGCUCAAACAGCAAGGAGGUAACUCCACCACAAAAACCAGCCUUCUGUAGAACCAUACCCUGCACCUUGGUUUCAACAGGACAUCAAUUCACAGAUCUGAUUAGUUCAGUUCAGGCAGCUGAAUGGAUUGGUACCACCAGGAUCUCUCACACCUCCCCAGAGAGGUGGCUUCCCACAUUGGGGUGGCUAUGCAAGAUAAGGAGCAGCUCUUCCACUGCCAGAGCUUAAGUCUUGUCUGCUACAGUAAAGAAAUCCACCCAUUCCGAGUCCUAGCACAGUAGUAGGCUGGAAACUCUGGAGCUGCUUUAUGUGGGACCAGGAACUUCUGAGAAGAUGGGGUCAACAGCUGAGGUACUCACAUGAACCCACAUUUACCCCACCUUGCUCACAAGCCAGCGCCCAAAGGCCCCUAAAUAUCCCUUGCUCUAUAGACCAAGUGCUUCCCAGGGUCCCUGGGCUGUAGAAGUGAGCAACACCAAAACCAUACACCCUUUCAGCAACCAGGACACCCAAAAACUGGUAUCUGGCCAAAGAGUCACGUGUGAAUAACAAAACAGCUUUAUGACUAUAAAUUUGUUCCUUUCUGGAAGGCGAAGAGGUUUUCAGCUUGCAAAAAAUGCAACUAUGUCAUGAAAGAAAUUUAAUUAAAUCUUCCAAGGAUUUCACAUCACAAAAGAAAGCACAACUUAUCUGAGAUUUUAUAGCCUGUAUAAGACUAGCUGCUUAGACAGUUUAUUUGUAAUUGCCUUGCCAAAGCUCACUCAAGUUGGAUUCCACUGAGGUCAGUUUCCAAAGUUUUUCUUCUAGAAGAGUUGUAAUAAAUAUUUUAACUUGGAAAUUGAAAGAAAGAAGACCACCCUACAAAAGAUUCCCGUUGUAUGUUUCACAAACAAAUUAGCUGACAGAUUUCUCCAGGGGCAUUACAAGACCUGGUAAUUUUCAAAUUCAAAGAGCUGGAAGGAAUUAUAUGAAAAACUGUGUCACAAAUCUGCAUGAAGUUACUUUAGUAAGACAGAGUAAUAGAACAUCCCCAAUUUUAAACAGUUCUACUUGAAUAAUCAGGCAAGAAUCUACUAGAAAACAUUUUUCCUAAAGCUUAGAGGACAUAAAACACAAUAUUAAUAGUAAUCUGUACUUCAGAACAGUAUUAAUGUGAUUCUCUUUUUUUAGAGGGUCUUAGUUCCCAUAACUGGAUAAACAUGGCUAUGAAUAUUAAGUCCUUUCUUCAAAGUCGCAUUAUCUUAAAUUUUAAACAACCACAACAGCCAAAUACUUGCCCGUUAUAAAUUCCCUCUUUUCUGAACGUCAGCAUCUGAAUUCUAAAAUUGCCCAACACAACUGCAAAAUAUUUUGCUAACCAACACCAAUCCCCAACGCUUAUUUGGUUAAAAAGAAAAUAAAAUAAAUCUUAGUUAAUUUAAAGUUCAUUCUCAAUGUGGUUUUCAAAUCUGUCAAAACACGCACAAGG